CAGUCUUCUAAAUAGCAGCACCAGAACAGCAACAGUCACAACAGCCACACAGCACCCCUGACACAAUCUUCAGUCUUCCACACAAAAAAGGGGGGUGAACCAUCAAUCAGAAGAAGAAGUAUCACCUUCACCUUCACCUUCACCUUUAGAGCCUUCAGAGCUUUCAGAGCUGCCACUGGAUUGGGCUUUUGCAUCUGAAUUCUUAGC
RNAcentral lists this long non-coding RNA (207 nucleotides) under Lathyrus oleraceus (garden pea). RNAcentral's name for it is "Pisum sativum (pea) long non-coding RNA (PSAT_LNC035036)". Lineage: Eukaryota; Viridiplantae; Streptophyta; Magnoliopsida; Fabales; Fabaceae. The record is from RNAcentral.